RNAcentral lists this long non-coding RNA (359 nucleotides) under Mytilus galloprovincialis (Mediterranean mussel). Lineage: Eukaryota; Metazoa; Mollusca; Bivalvia; Mytilida; Mytilidae. The record is from RNAcentral.
CUAUGUACAAAAAAUGUAUGAAAACACAUGUAGAUACAUGUACAAUGUAUGUGAAUGCAUCUUUUUGUAAAGGUCUUUAUACAUGUUAUAUGUGUGAACAUGUAUGUAUGUACAUGAUGUAACUAGAGCAUAUGUGUGAAUGAAUAUAUAUGUAAGUGUGAAUGCAUGUAUGUAGGUAUGUAAGUUAUGUAUGCAUGAAAGUGAAGUAUAAAAUUAAUUUGGAAAGAAAAGGGGGGAUAAAGGUAAAAAAAAUAAAUAGUUUUUAGGCAAUAUUCAACAUGUAUUCUAUUAUAUCUGUACAACAAAGAUUAUGUACAUUUUCAUAUGUUUAAUGAUGUUUUUCUUUUUUUAUGUGAAAC